Molecule: non-coding RNA, 3721 nt
Organism: Peromyscus maniculatus bairdii (prairie deer mouse)
Lineage: Eukaryota; Metazoa; Chordata; Mammalia; Rodentia; Cricetidae
Source: RefSeq, a predicted model, not a curated record
CCUUUCUUCCUUCCUUUUUUUUUUUUUUUUCCAGAGCUGAGGACCGAACCCAGGGCCUUGCGCUUGCUAGGCAAGCACUCUACCACUGAGCUAAAUCCCCAACCCCACUAAUAAACUCUUUAUUCCCCAGUUAUCUGUCUCCGUGUCUUCCUGACACCCUCACCCUACCCUCAUCCGCCACCCUCACCCCUUCUGCCCCCACCAUCAACAGGUUCCACUCUGACUCAGGCUCAGAGGGGUGGAGACUGAGUGGGCUGUGCACCCCUGCACGCCUCCUCCCAACCCUUCCCUGCUUGCACUUGAGUCCUGCACAUUUUGGUUCCCCUCCUACAACCUCAUCUGCUUCCCCGGAGCUUGCUUGUCUGUCUGUGCUGUGGGAUCCAGACUUACUCAUACAGCAGCGUCCCGAAUUCCCCAGAGUGAGUGACUUACUAAGAACAGAAGGCUAUUUUGGCCCGUGGUGCUGGAGGCCCAUCCAAGAUCUGGUGAGCGCCCCCUGCUGCUGGACAGCCGCUGUCCACGGAAGAAUUCACUCCCACAAGAAGGCAUCAGUGGCUGUCACUGACAGCUCCGAGAAGUCCACUGCACCGAGGACCUGGUUUCCCGCGCCUGGUCUAGUCCCCUCUGACCUCAGGGUGGAGCACCGCGAAUCAGAGCCCUCCUGCCUGCCCUGAGCUGUCGACAUACUCCCUGUGGAUGCUGAGGACAAUGGAUGCUGGUCAGCUGGAGCUGAGAAACUGGUGGUGAUUAAGAAGAGACCAGCAUUGUUGAGAGAACAACAAAACCAGUCAGAGGACAAAAGCCAUUCAAGAUGUCUGCCUGGGACUCCACAGCACAUCCCUGAGGAUGUGUAGAUGUUUGGGGUUAUUUGGUUUAUGAGGAAGCCAGCCCUGUCUGAACUGCUGUCCUGAUGUGAUCCUAACACACAGCUUGGUAGAUGGUGGAUGUGAGUGUGCAUACAUAGGAGGUGGAAGCAGAUAUAAAAGUGUGCACGUGGCCAGGCACCGUGGCGCGUGUCUUUAACCCCAGAGCUCAGGAGGCAGAGGUAGGUGGAUCUCUGUGAGUUCUAGGCCAGCCUGGUCUACAGAGCGAGUUCCAGGACAGCCAGGGCUACAUAAUAAGGCCCUGUCCUCAGGGUCUACUAUUUGAUCCAAGACAUGUGAGUAGGAAUAUAUUCUGAUAAAGCCAUAGUAAGUAGGAAUGGAAGUCUCCUGCUUUGGGCGAGGAAUACAUUUUGUAUGUUAUUUUCCUUUUUUUUUUAAACAAACAAACGGUGCUGGAGAGAUGCUCAGUGGGUUGAGAGUGCUUGUCGUAUAAACAGGAGAGCCUGAGUCCAGAUCCUCAGCGCCCCGUUUACAAAAACAAGUGUUGAGGGAGGUGGAGAUGGGGAUCUUCUGGACUUGCUGGCCACAGUCCUCUCUCCAGGUUCAGUGAGGGACCCACCUCAAAGGAGUAAAGAGUGACAGGGUGCACACACACACACACACACACACACACACACACACACACACACAGGGACACACGGACAUGGACACACACACCACACCCAUGCACACAAUGGUUACACACACAAAACAAAAACCACACGUGAAAACAGCUGCUGGGUGUAGAGGCAAAAACCAUCUCUUGGCAAGCUGAGGAGGGUCCUGAGCCUGAGGCCGGGCUGGGCUAUGAUGGAGACUUCAAAGUGUGAUUCAGCCAAAGUCUUUAAAUUGUAGAACUAGUAGUUGGAUGAGUAGAGAAUCUGAGCUAUACUGAGCGAUAAAUUAUCAAAACUCAUGUUAUAUAUACAUACAUAUGAAUUGCAUUUUAUUUUUUUAACCUUUCUUUCCUUGGUGUGCACAGUGUGGAUGUGUGGCCCAGGACAGCUUGCAGGAGUUGGUUCUCUCCCGCCGCCGUGUGGGUCCCAAGGAUAAACUGGUUAUCAGUCUUGGUGACAAGAACCACAACGGAGCCAUCUCAUUGGCCCUAUAUAUUUUUUAUAGGUUAUUUAUCCAUGUAUAUUUAUUUAUAGGUUAUAAAAUCAUAAUCUUCAUAUAUAUAUUUAUUCCUGGCUGUCCUGGAACUCGAUAUGUAGACCAAACUGUCUUGUUACAGACAUCCACCUGCCUCCACUACGCCCAGUUACUUUUUGCACCUCUAUCUGUAUCUGUAUGUGCACCACAUGCAUGCAGAUACCUAUGGAAGCCAGAUGAGGGCGUCAGUGUCUCUGGAGCUGAGCUCCAGGUGGUUGUGAGUCGCCCACUGUGGGUGCUGGGGACCGAACCUGGGUCCUCUGUAAGGGCAGCAGGGCUCUUGGGCGGUAAACGGCCUCUCCAGCUGCAUCCCUGUCAUGAUAUUCAUGAGUCAUUUGUACAGUUAAUGCAGCCAGUGAAAUAAUGUCCAGCAGACGGCUUGAUUCACAGCCUGCUGAUGCAGAUUUUCCAUUCUCUCCUUGGAGACUUGAGGCAAUCUGCCCAACUGUCCCCAAGGAAUGAAGGGCCAGGGUGGGGCGAGGGGGUCAUUUUACUCGUCAACAACAUGGCUUUUCUCUGGUUAUUUUAGCCACAGUGACACUGUGGAGGUCACUUCUGCUCCCUGUACACAGUCCUACACCGCAGUGAGAGUGUGUUGAGCAUCUGGGUUCCUGUGCAUGCACUGUGCAGUCAUUACCAGCGAAGAACCCGGAGGAGGACACAGGCAGAGGGCAGGAGCCAAGAGUCUCUCCAGGCACCAUCUACCACUGGUGUAAAUGGAGAAGAAGCCUUUGACUUGCUUGUGAUAGAGCUGGGGGCCCAGCUCAGCUGUAAGGUGUUUGCCUAGCUCCCCAACCCCAGGAAGGGGCUAGGGUGUGAUGCAGUUGUAGGGUGCUUGCCUAGCCCCCCCACAGUGAGGGGCUAGGAUGUGACUCCACUGUGGGGUGCUUGUCUAGACUUCCCCAGUUGGGGGCUGGGGUGUGUCUCAGCUGUGGGAUUCUUGUCUAGGCUACUCCAGUGAGGGGCUGGGGUGUGUCUCAGCUGUGGGGUACUUGUCCAUACUCCCCCAGUGAGGGGCUGGGAGUGGUAGGGUUCUUGCCUGGCCCCCACGGUGAAAGGCAGGGGAUAGAGCCCGGGGUAGGGGGCUUUCCUGGUACAUACAAGACCCUGGCUCCAUCCCUAGCACUCAGGUGACUUCUGUUCUCCAGUGUUUCAGAAAGGCAGCAUUUUGGCUGCCUUGAGCCUUUUUCUCUUGUUGGUGGUGGAUGCUCGUGCUACCCAGGAUCCCCAUGAAUGUGGUUGGACUUUGGGUACAUAUGAAAUCCAGUGAAAGCCUCCUCCUUCACUGGACACUGCAGAAAUUUGGCCUGGUUGAUAUUUAGUCAAGGGAGGAAGUCCUCGCUUGGAUUGUAGCUGCUUGGAUUGUAGCUACCACAUAUCUAGAACCAUCAUAUUGGAUAAGUAAGCCUACUCAAGGCAAGUGGAAUCUUUGCCUUCGUUGGACAUGGAGUCACCAACAUCAGGAACUCUGGGAGGAGAGAAGAGUGAGGGAGCCUUCCAGGCUGCCAUCAUCACCCCAUGAACUUCACCUGGUAACAACAUGGAUAACCUCUAGACACCCUCCACCCCAGGCGGCCAUCCCAGAACUCGGAGGACAACAGUGCCUCUUUAAGUCUCUGGGUGACACUUACUCAUGGACUUGUGUGUGUCAUAGUUAAUAUGAAUAAGACUUUCCUGGAUGAACUCAGAUAAAACUAAAUUACCCA